GAUGAACGCUGGCGGCGUGCUUAACACAUGCAAGUCGAACGAUGAUGCCCAGCUUGCUGGGUGGAUUAGUGGCGAACGGGUGAGUAACACAUGAGUAACCUGCCCUUGACUCUGGGAUAAGCCUGGGAAACUGGGUCUAAUACCGGAUACGACCAUCUGGCGCAUGUCAUGGUGGUGGAAAGCUUUUGUGGUUUUGGAUGGACUCGCGGCCUAUCAGCUUGUUGGUGGGGUAAUGGCCUACCAAGGCGACGACGGGUAGCCGGCCUGAGAGGGUGACCGGCCACACUGGGACUGAGACACGGCCCAGACUCCUACGGGAGGCAGCAGUGGGGAAUAGUGCACAAUGGGCGCAAGCCUGAUGCAGCGACGCCGCGUGAGGGAUGACGGCCUUCGGGUUGUAAACCUCUUUCAGUAGGGAAGAAGCGAAAGUGACGGUACCUGCAGAAGAAGCGCCGGCUAACUACGUG
RNAcentral lists this ribosomal RNA (467 nucleotides) under uncultured bacterium. Its description in RNAcentral is "partial 16S ribosomal RNA". It matches the Rfam family "Bacterial small subunit ribosomal RNA", at positions 28 to 507 of the family's 1533-position model. The record is from RNAcentral.